GGUAGUGUGGCCAAGCAGUCUAAGGCACUGGAUUAAGGCUCCAGUCUCUUUGGGGGCAUGGGUUCAAAUCCCACCACUACCA
Molecule: non-coding RNA, 82 nt
Organism: Chiloscyllium plagiosum (whitespotted bambooshark)
Lineage: Eukaryota; Metazoa; Chordata; Chondrichthyes; Orectolobiformes; Hemiscylliidae
Source: the annotation of a RefSeq genome assembly